Molecule: transfer RNA, 66 nt
Filed under: Archimandrita tessellata
Lineage: Eukaryota; Metazoa; Arthropoda; Insecta; Blattodea; Blaberidae
Description: tRNA-Val
Source: RNAcentral
CAGGCUAAUCUAUAGGAAUUAUUCAUUUACAUUGAAGAAAUUGUCGUGCAAUUCGGUAUAGCUUGA